This 491-nucleotide ribosomal RNA is filed under the name uncultured bacterium. RNAcentral describes it as "bacterial SSU rRNA". It matches the Rfam family "Bacterial small subunit ribosomal RNA", at positions 28 to 526 of the family's 1533-position model. The record is from RNAcentral.
GACGAACGCUGGCGGCGUGCUUAACACAUGCAAGUCGAACGGUGAAGGUGAAGCUUGCUUCACUGGAUCAGUGGCGAACGGGUGAGUAACACGUGAGCAACCUGCCCCGAACUUUGGGAUAACUUCUCGAAAGGGAAGCUAAUACCGGAUAUGAAAUGUUCUCGCAUGAGAAUGUUUGGAAAGUUUUUUCGGUUCGGGAUGGGCUCGCGGCCUAUCAGCUUGUUGGUGGGGUAAUGGCCUACCAAGGCGACGACGGGUAGCCGGCCUGAGAGGGUGACCGGCCACACUGGGACUGAGACACGGCCCAGACUCCUACGGGAGGCAGCAGUGGGGAAUCUUGCACAAUGGGCGAAAGCCUGAUGCAGCGACGCCGCGUGAGGGAUGACGGCCUUCGGGUUGUAAACCUCUUUCAGCAGGGAAGAAGCCUUUCGGGGUGACGGUACCUGCAGAAGAAGCACCGGCUAACUACGUGCCAGCAGCCGCCGUAACAC